AUGGACUGGAGCUGGAGAACCCUCCUCCUGGUGGCCAUGGUGACAGGUGUCCACUCCCAGGUGCAGCUGGUGCAGUCUGGGGCUGAGGUGAGGAAGCCUGGGGCCUCCGUGAAGGUCUCCUGCAAGGCUUCUGGAUCCACCUUCACCAGCUACUGGAUGCACUGGGUGCGACAGGCCCCAGGACUGGGGCUUGAGUGGAUGGGGAGGGUUCUCCCUUUACUUGGAAUCACAGACUACACACAGAAGUUCCAAGGCGGAGCCUCCAUGACCAGAGACAUGUCCACGAGCACAGCCUACAUGGAGCUCAGCAGCCUGAGAGCUGAGGACACGGCCGUGUAUUACUGUGUGAGGAUAAAGAAAAGAAGAUCUAAAGAGGGCAAAUACCUGGCUGUGGGCACCAGCAGUGCGGAGGUUCAGCUAUGGGAUGUGCAGCAGCAGAAGCGGCUUCAGAACAUGACCAGUCAUUCUGCCCGAGUGGGCUCCCUGUGUUGGAAUCGCUACCUACUGUCCAGUGGCUCACGCUCUGGUCACAUCCAUCACCACGAUGUUCGGGUAGCAGAACACCAUGUGGCCACACUGAGUGGUCACAGCCAGGAAGUGCGCGGACUGCACUGGUCCCCAGAUGGACGACAUUUGGCCAGUGGUGGCAAUGAUAACUUGGUCAAUGUGUGGCCUAGUGCUGCUUUAGAGGCGGGCUGGGUUCCCCUGCAGACAUUCACCCAGCAUCAAGGGGCUGUCAAGGCUCUAGCUUGGUGUCCCUGGCAGUCCAAUUAGGGCAACUGGAGGGGGCACCAGUGAUCGGCACAUUCGCAUCUGGAACGUCUGCUCUGGGGCCUGUCUGAAUGCUGUGGAUGCCCACUCCCAGGUGUGCUCCAUCCUCUGGUCUUCCCACUACAAGGAACUUAUCUCAGGUCAUGGCUUUGCCCACAACCAGCUGGUUAUUUGGAAGUACCCAACCAUGGUCAAGGUGGCUGAGCUCAAAGGUCACACAGCCCAGGUCCUAAGUUUGGCCAUGAGUCCAGAUGGGGCCACGGUGGCAUCAGCAGCAGCAGAUGAGACCCUACACAUGUGGCACUGCUUUGAGUUGGACCCUGCAUGGCGGCGGGAGCGGGAAAAGGCUAGUGCAAUCAAAAGCAGCCUUAUCCAUCAAAGCAUCUGUUGAGGACCAACUCAU
Myotis lucifugus (little brown bat) is the source of this 1174-nucleotide RNA transcript. It is a transcript of the gene named cell division cycle protein 20 homolog pseudogene, with no coding region annotated. The transcript is spliced from 3 exons. Lineage: Eukaryota; Metazoa; Chordata; Mammalia; Chiroptera; Vespertilionidae. The record is from RefSeq and is a predicted model, not a curated record.